Molecule: ribosomal RNA, 389 nt
Filed under: uncultured bacterium
Lineage: Bacteria
Description: bacterial SSU rRNA
Rfam family: Bacterial small subunit ribosomal RNA
Source: RNAcentral
GACGAACGCUGGCGGCGUGCUUAACACAUGCAAGUCGAGCGGUAAGGCCCUUUCGGGGGUACACGAGCGGCGAACGGGUGAGUAACACGUGGGUGACCUGCCCUCAGCUCUGGGAUAAGCCUGGGAAACUGGGUCUAAUACUGGAUAUGACUCCACGGUGCAUGUCGUGGGGUGGAAAGCCUUGUGCGGCUGAGGAUGGGCCCGCGGCCUAUCAGCUUGUUGGUGGGGUGANGGCCUACCAAGGCGACGACGGGUAGCCGGCCUGAGAGGGCGACCGGCCACACUGGGACUGAGACACGGCCCAGACUCCUACGGGAGGCAGACAGUGGGGAAUCUUGCGCAAUGGGCGAAAGCCUGACGCAGCGACGCCGCGUGAGGGAUGACGGCCU